GAUCAUGGCUCAGAUUGAACGCUGGCGGCAGGCCUAACACAUGCAAGUCGAGCGGUAGCACAGAGAGCUUGCUCUCGGGUGACGAGCGGCGGACGGGUGAGUAAUGUCUGGGAAACUGCCUGAUGGAGGGGGAUAACUACUGGAAACGGUAGCUAAUACCGCAUAAUGUCGCAAGACCAAAGUGGGGGACCUUCGGGCCUCAUGCCAUCAGAUGUGCCCAGAUGGGA
This 227-nucleotide ribosomal RNA is filed under the name uncultured bacterium. RNAcentral's name for it is "partial 16S ribosomal RNA". It matches the Rfam family "Bacterial small subunit ribosomal RNA", at positions 15 to 240 of the family's 1533-position model. The record is from RNAcentral.